This 500-nucleotide ribosomal RNA is filed under the name uncultured bacterium. Its description in RNAcentral is "partial 16S ribosomal RNA". It matches the Rfam family "Bacterial small subunit ribosomal RNA", at positions 30 to 523 of the family's 1533-position model. The record is from RNAcentral.
AUUGAACGCUGGCGGCAUGCUUUACACAUGCAAGUCGAACGGUAACAGGGAGCUUGCUCCGCUGACGAGUGGCGAACGGGUGAGUAAUGCGUCGGAACGUGCCGAGUAGUGGGGGAUAACGCAGCGAAAGUUGUGCUAAUACCGCAUACGUACUGAGGUAGAAAGUGGGGGACCUUCGGGCCUCACGCUAUUCGAGCGGCCGACGUCUGAUUAGCUAGUAGGUGAGGUAAAGGCUCACCUAGGCGACGAUCAGUAGCGGGUCUGAGAGGAUGAUCCGCCACACUGGGACUGAGACACGGCCCAGACUCCUACGGGAGGCAGCAGUAGGGAAUUUUGGACAAUGGGCGAAAGCCUGAUCCAGCCAUGCCGCGUGUCUGAAGAAGGCCUUCGGGUUGUAAAGGACUUUUGUCGGGGAGGAAAUCCCCAGCGCUAAUACCGCUGGGGGAUGACAGUACCUGAAGAAUAAGCACCGGCUAACUAUGUGCCAGCCGCCGCCGUAA